This 389-nucleotide ribosomal RNA is filed under the name Pasteurella multocida. RNAcentral's name for it is "bacterial SSU rRNA". It matches the Rfam family "Bacterial small subunit ribosomal RNA", at positions 16 to 401 of the family's 1533-position model. The record is from RNAcentral. Lineage: Bacteria; Pseudomonadati; Pseudomonadota; Gammaproteobacteria; Pasteurellales; Pasteurellaceae.
AUCAUGGCUCAGAUUGAACGCUGGCGGCAGGCCUAACACAUGCAAGUCGGGCGGUAACAGGGAGAAGCUUGCUUCUCUGCUGACGAGCGGCGGACGGGUGAGUAAUGUAUGGGGAUCUGCCUGAUGGCGGGGGAUAACUACUGGAAACGGUAGCUAAUACCGCAUAAUGUCUUCGGACCAAAGCGGGGGACCUUCGGGCCUCGCGCCAUCAGAUGAACCCAUAUGGGAUUAGCUUGUAGGUGAGGUAAUGGCUCACCUAGGCGACGAUCCCUAGCUGGUCUGAGAGGAUGAUCAGCCACACUGGGACUGAGACACGGCCCAGACUCCUACGGGAGGCAGCAGUGGGGAAUAUUGCACAAUGGGCGCAAGCCUGAUGCAGCCAUGCCGCG